Molecule: long non-coding RNA, 226 nt
Organism: Anneissia japonica
Lineage: Eukaryota; Metazoa; Echinodermata; Crinoidea; Comatulida; Comatulidae
Exons: 3
Source: RefSeq, a predicted model, not a curated record
UGCUGUUGUCUUCAAGACUCUUUAUACUCUCAUCAAAUUUGGAAUUUCACUUGAUGGUACUCCUACACAAUUUGACCCACCAGAACACUUGUUUCGUAUCCGACUUGUAUGUACAUUACUGGACACGUGUGGUCAGUUCUUUGACCGUGGAAGCACUAAGAAGAAGCUGGACUGCUUUCUAGUUUAUUUUCAGCAAUAUGUUCUAUAUAAGAAGAGUCUUGCAAUA